RNAcentral lists this ribosomal RNA (253 nucleotides) under uncultured bacterium. RNAcentral describes it as "partial 16S ribosomal RNA". It matches the Rfam family "Bacterial small subunit ribosomal RNA", at positions 524 to 776 of the family's 1533-position model. The record is from RNAcentral.
UACGUAGGGUGCAAGCGUUAAUCGGAAUUACUGGGCGUAAAGCGUGCGCAGGCGGUUUUGUAAGACAGAGGUGAAAUCCCCGGGCUCAACCUGGGAACUGCCUUUGUGACUGCAAGGCUUGAGUGCGGCAGAGGGGGAUGGAAUUCCGCGUGUAGCAGUGAAAUGCGUAGAUAUGUGGAGGAACACCGAUGGCGAAGGCAGCCCCCUGGGUCAAGACUGACGCUCAUGCACGAAAGCGUGGGGAGCAAACAGG